This is a non-coding RNA of Podarcis lilfordi (Lilford's wall lizard), 67 nucleotides long. Lineage: Eukaryota; Metazoa; Chordata; Lepidosauria; Squamata; Lacertidae. The record is from the annotation of a GenBank genome assembly.
CAAACUUGGUGACAGAGUGUCUGCUUUGCACGCAGAAGAACCUGAGUUCAAUCCCUCAGCAUCUUGA